RNAcentral lists this ribosomal RNA (253 nucleotides) under uncultured bacterium. RNAcentral's name for it is "partial 16S ribosomal RNA". It matches the Rfam family "Bacterial small subunit ribosomal RNA", at positions 524 to 776 of the family's 1533-position model. The record is from RNAcentral.
UACGGGGGGGGCAAGCGUUGUCCGGAUUUAUUGGGCGUAAAGAGCGUGUAGGCGGCCAGGUAGGUCUGCUGUGAAAACUCGAGGCUUAACCUCGAGAUGUCGGCGGAAACCAUCUGGCUAGAGUCCGGAAGAGGAGAAUGGAAUUCCCGGUGUAGCGGUGAAAUGCGCAGAUAUCGGGAAGAACACCCGUGGCGAAGGCGGUUCUCUGGGACGGUACUGACGCUGAGACGCGAAAGCGUGGGGAGCGAACAGG